RNAcentral lists this ribosomal RNA (294 nucleotides) under uncultured bacterium. RNAcentral describes it as "partial 16S ribosomal RNA". The record is from RNAcentral.
GGACUACCAGGGUUUCUAAUCCUGUUCGCUCCCCUAGCUUUCGCGCCUCAGCGUCAGUUGCCAGCCAGGACACUGCCUUCGCCUUUGGUAUUCCUCCGGAUAUCUACGCAUUUCACCACUCCACCCGGAAUUCUAUGUCCCUCUCUGGCCCUCAAGUCAGGCCGUCUUUCGCCAAACCUUGCCGGGUUAAGCCCGGCACUGUCAUGGGAAACUGACCCAACCGCCUACGCGCCCUUUACGCCCAGUAACUCCGGACAACGCUCGCCCCCUACGUAUUACCGCGGCGGCUGGCAC